This 481-nucleotide ribosomal RNA is filed under the name uncultured bacterium. RNAcentral describes it as "bacterial SSU rRNA". It matches the Rfam family "Bacterial small subunit ribosomal RNA", at positions 28 to 526 of the family's 1533-position model. The record is from RNAcentral.
GACGAACGCUGGCGGCGUGCUUAACACAUGCAAGUCGAACGGAAAGGCCCUUCGGGGUACUCGAGUGGCGAACGGGUGAGUAACACGUGGGUGAUCUGCCCUGCACUUUGGGAUAAGCCUGGGAAACUGGGUCUAAUACCGGAUAGGACUACGGCCUGCAUGGGUUGUGGUGGAAAGCUUUUGCGGUGUGGGAUGAGCCUGCGGACUAUCAGCUUGUUGGUGGGGUGAUGGCCUACCAAGGCGUCGACGGUUAGCCGGCCUGAGAGGGUGUCCGGCCACACUGGGACUGAGAUACGGCCCAGACUCCUACGGGAGGCAGCAGUGGGGAAUAUUGCACAAUGGGCGCAAGCCUGAUGCAGCGACGCCGCGUGGGGGAUGACGGCCUUCGGGUUGUAAACCUCUUUCAGCACAGACGAAGCGCAAGUGACGGUAUGUGCAGAAGAAGCACCGGCCAACUACGUGCCAGCCGCCGCGGUAAAAC